This is a long non-coding RNA of Eucalyptus grandis, 326 nucleotides long. RefSeq lists it as uncharacterized. The transcript has 2 exons. Lineage: Eukaryota; Viridiplantae; Streptophyta; Magnoliopsida; Myrtales; Myrtaceae. The record is from RefSeq and is a predicted model, not a curated record.
GCCAAGUCCACGUCGCAAAAACAAGUGUACGAGGUUGCGGCAAAGCCUGUUGUGGAGGAUUUUUCCACUUCACAGGAUGGUGUAGCAAAAGAGAAAGAGAAGAGAAAGGAGAAGAAAAUGUGGAAGAGGAGGAAGGAAAAAGAAUGAGAACUUAGCAAAAUGUCAACAAAAUCCGAAAUAAUGUUUCAUAAGUGGCUGAAUUACACAGAAAUAGUAUGAAGGAUUUUUUCGGUGUUGAUAUAGAUAUCCAAUUUAACAUCACCUUUGGCCACUGACAACUUUGACAAAGUAUUUACAUCAUUGAAUGCCUAUUAACUUUGACACCA